CUUUUCAUGAGAACAAUGUCUGCUGCCUCGAUGGCAAUGUCUGUGCCUGCACCAAUCGCCAUUCCAACAUCUGCAGCAACAAGAGCUGGUUUGGCUUCAGCGAUGACAGUUUCAAUCCCAACCUCCUGAGCAAUGGAAUUUGCAGUUCCCCAGUUGUCACCUGUCACCAAGAUGCUCUUAACCUUCAUAGACUUGAGAAUGGAUAUCACAUCACGAGCACCUGGCUUCAGUGGAUCAGAUAUGGCUAGAACUCCAGUCAGCUCCCCAUCUAUCGAUAUCAGAAUCCCAGUUUGAGCCAUUGCUUCAAUUUCUUCCAGCAUAUCUUCAGCAUCAACUGGAAUGACAAUCUUCUGGUCUAACAUCAAGCUCUUGUUGCCCACUAUGAUCUCUUUGUUGCGAACAAUGGCUUUCACACCAUGGCCAGUAAUGGAGACGAAAUCCUUUGCUCCUGGCCAAGUGGGAUUCUCUUCAUCUUCUCUGAAUUUCUUAGUAUACUCCACAAUGGCCUUAGCCAGUGGGUGCUCACUGUUCACCUGGUACACAUUCAGAGCACCUAUGUUGUAAAUAUUCAAACUUUAUGGGCGAAUUUGUAAAAAGCAUGGUUCACAAGCUUAAUGCUUUAAUGAAACAUUUGAAAAUGAUUUUUGGUUUGGCAAAAAGUUUAACAAAA
Molecule: long non-coding RNA, 670 nt
Organism: Vitis riparia (riverbank grape)
Lineage: Eukaryota; Viridiplantae; Streptophyta; Magnoliopsida; Vitales; Vitaceae
Exons: 2
Source: RefSeq, a predicted model, not a curated record